GAUGAACGCUGGCGGCGUGCCUAAUACAUGCAAGUCGAGCGAACGGACGAGAAGCUUGCUUCUCUGAUGUUAGCGGCGGACGGGUGAGUAACACGUGGAUAACCUACCUCUAAGACUGGGAUAACUUCGGGAAACCGUAGCUAAUACCGGAUAAUAUUUUGAACCGCAUGGUUCAAAAGUGAAAGACGGUCUUGCUGUCACUUAUAGAUGGAUCCGCGCUGCAUUAGCUAGUUGGUAAGGUAACGGCUUACCAAGGCAACGAUGCAUAGCCGACCUGAGAGGGUGAUCGGCCACACUGGAACUGAGACACGGUCCAGACUCCUACGGGAGGCAGCAGUAGGGAAUCUUCCGCAAUGGGCGAAAGCCUGACGGAGCAACGCCGCGUGAGUGAUGAAGGUCUUCGGAUCGUAAAACUCUGUUAUUAGGGAAGAACAUAUGUGUAAGUAACUGUGCACAUCUUGACGGUACCUAAUCAGAAAGCCACGGCUAACUACGUG
RNAcentral lists this ribosomal RNA (497 nucleotides) under uncultured bacterium. RNAcentral describes it as "partial 16S ribosomal RNA". It matches the Rfam family "Bacterial small subunit ribosomal RNA", at positions 28 to 507 of the family's 1533-position model. The record is from RNAcentral.